GGAGGGGGCUAGCGUUGUUCGGAUUUACUGGGCGUAAAGGGCGCGUAGGCGGUAUGUCAUGUCAGGGGUGAAAGGCCUGGGCUCAACCCAGGAACUGCCUUUGAAACUGGCAAACUAGAGUCCGAUAGAGGAUGGCGGAAUUCCCAGUGUAGAGGUGAAAUUCGUAGAUAUUGGGAAGAACACCAGUGGCGAAGGCGGCCAUCUGGAUCGGCACUGACGCUGAGGCGCGAAAGCGUGGGGAGCAAACAGGGAUUAGAUACCCUGGUAGUCCACGCCGUAAACGAUGUGUGCUAGACGUUGGGGGGCCUUAGGCCCCUGGGUGUCGCAGCUAACGCAUUAAGCACACCGCCUGGGGAGUACGGCCGCAAGGUUA
This 373-nucleotide ribosomal RNA is filed under the name uncultured organism. RNAcentral's name for it is "partial 16S ribosomal RNA". It matches the Rfam family "Bacterial small subunit ribosomal RNA", at positions 527 to 896 of the family's 1533-position model. The record is from RNAcentral.